Molecule: long non-coding RNA, 2217 nt
Filed under: Homo sapiens (human)
Lineage: Eukaryota; Metazoa; Chordata; Mammalia; Primates; Hominidae
Description: HSALNT0294332
Source: RNAcentral
GAUCACCCAACCUUGAUGAGCUGGAAGGGGUAUCUGUUGAGUCUCCUCUUGGAUUUCAAAUCUCCCUGAUUUUUUGGUUUGAGAUCCAUACUAUAUUCAAAUGACCUGACUUCAUGCUCAAGGGGGAUUAAAGUUCUACUUUAAACCUUUAAGAGGAAAUCUCUGAAGAAAUCGUGGAUGGAAAUCCUGGCCAGUUACAUUCACUGAACCUUGAAACAAUUGUUACAAGAAACUCAACACGCCUGACUCAGGGUUACUGUUCAUUCUUCUGGAAGCUGCAGAGAAAGGGAACCUGGAAACCUGAGUUUUGCUCUUGCUGCUUAGACUGGAGUGCAAUGGCAUGAUCUCAGCUCACCGCAACCUCUGCCUCCUGGAUUCAAAUGAUUCUCCCGCCUCAGCCUCCCGAGUAGCUGGAAUUGCAGGCAUGUACCACCAUGCCUGGCUAAUUUUGUAUUUUUAGUAGAGACAGGGUUUCUCCAUGUUGGUCAAGCUGGUCUUCAACUCCCGACCUUAGGUGAUCCACCUGCCUCAGCCUCCCAAAGUGCUGGGAUUACAGGCGUGAGCCACUGCACCCGGCAAUACUAAUGGUUUAUCCAAGUAUCUGCUUAUCUGAAAUUCAAAUAUCACUGAGCUUAGCAUUUUCAACAAUGUAGAUGAUCAUAGAAGACAUUAUGCUAAUUGAAAGAAGCCAGUCACAGAAGGACAAAUACUGCAUGAUUCUACUUACCUGACUUAUCUUAAAUAGUCGAAAUCGUUGAAGCAGAGAAUAGACUGGUGGUUGCCAGGGGCUGAAGGGAAGGAGGAAAUGUGGAAUUGUUGCACAACUGGUAUAAAGUUUCAGUUAUACAAUGUGACUAAGUUUUCAAGCUCUGCUAUACAACAUUGUACUUAUAGUUAACAAUAUGGUAUUAUGUACCUUAAAAUAUAAAGAGAAUAGAUCUAUUGUUGAGUAUUCUUACCACAAACAAACCAAAAACUUACAGAAGAACACAAGAACAUUUUUGUAGGUGAUAAAUAGGUUGAGUAGCUUGAUUGUGGUGAUAUAGUGAGUAUAUGGUAUAUGCAUAUGUCCAAACUCUUCAAAAUGCAUAUAUUAAAUAUGUACAAUUUUCAUAUAUUAACUAUAUACUAAAAGCUUAUAUAUAUAAAUAUAGCUUAAGAAAAAUAUUGCAUUUCUAAGUUUUGUUAGAAAAAUUUCAAUUACUCAUAGAGGUACUAGUUUCACUCUUAAUUAUGUGCAGUGUAUUUUAUUAUCCAUAGGAUACUAUUGGAGGCUCACCAACUCUAAAUUGUUCAUGCAUAGUUCCUAUCACUACCAUUUUCAAAUACCAAGUAGAAAAGACCUACAUGAGUGAUGUAUUAAACAAAGAAAUAAACAAUCCACAAACAUUUCUUGAGUAUCUAUUAUAGAAACAGCAUCCAAGGAAAUAAUUGGAUAAAGAAUAGGAAAGGUUUUUGUUUGUCGGUUUGUUUUUAUCUUCCGGAUACAUAAUAAAUUACUUGUCAGUUUUCUGUCAAGAAAUCUAUUAAGCCAAAAGGUUGUAAGAAUGCACUGAGUUGGUUGUGAGGGUGGUAGCAAAUAAUCUUACAAGAAAAAUUUUAAGACAAAAUAGAAAGAAUGAAUGGCAAAUUUACAAAUUUAGAGAUUGCUUAAGAUUUGUUCCAAUAAUGAAUAAAUAAAAGUAAAUUAAAAUGAAAGUUUAAAAACAAAACAAAUUUAACUGGUUACACUGUUUUAUUUUUUUCUCCUAAUUCUGGCAACCCUAUGCCCAUUAAUAGGAAAAUUUGAUAUUUUUGUGCAUUGUAUCACUACAAACGAAUAAAAAGAAUAAACUAUUGAUAUAUUCAAUAACACAAAUAAAUCUCAAAAUAAUUAUUGAGUGAAAAAAGCCAGAGAAAAAUCAAUGGUAGUAUAAUUCUAUUUACAUAAAAUUCUAUGAAAUGAAAAGUAAUGGACAGUGACAGAAAGCAGAUUAGUGGUUGCCAAGGAAUGGGAGAAGGGGCAUAGUGCAGGUGCAGAUAGUUAUUACAAGGAGAAAAAAAAUUGGGGGGUUAUUGGUAUGUUCAUUAUCUCAAUUGUGGUGCUGAUUUUCACAGGUGUAUACCUAUGUUUAAACUCAUCAAAUUAUACAUUUUAAAUGAAUGCACAUUAUUUUAUGGCAAUAGUCUCUUAAAGUUAGUUUUAAGUAAAUAAAAAUUCAAAAAGAAGAAAAUAAA